Tyto alba (common barn owl) is the source of this 609-nucleotide long non-coding RNA. RefSeq lists it as uncharacterized. Lineage: Eukaryota; Metazoa; Chordata; Aves; Strigiformes; Tytonidae. The record is from RefSeq and is a predicted model, not a curated record. The transcript is spliced from 2 exons.
GGGCCCCGAUUGGCCGAUAGUCCAUGUCAUGUGACAUUACACUCACUAUAUAAAGGCAGGAGAGGGCCGGGAGGGGCUGCCACUUCCGGGAGCGGUGCUGGGGGGCCUUGGUGUUCGGGAUUGCCGGCCGGGAGCAGGUGGGUGGUGAGCAGCUGUGUGUGCUGAGUGUCCUUCCCUGGAUAAUGAGGCUAUUUCAGAGGCUGGAAGACUUCCCUGAGACAGAGUCUCAUGAUUUUUACUGGUGUAAAGAAAAAAAAAAAUAGAAAAGAAGAAAGCCAAUUUCCCUACCUUCUAUUAAGCAGGAGAUUGUGCAUGGGUGAUGGAGGAGAACGCUCCUGGGAAGAAAACAGAUUUCAGUGUCAAGAUUGCAAAGGGUUAUUAAUAUAAACAGAGGACAUAAACUAAAAUGAUUGCUGAAAAUGAUGAAAAAUAUCUCAGCAUUAUCCUCCUUAUGUUGCUUGCUCAUCAUUUGAGAGUUUAAAGGACAGAAUCAUCACACGGAUCCAAAACACUUCCUGGAAACACUCCUGUUUGCAUCCAAGCAUUCAUGCAUUUAUUCUCCUGUCUGUGUUAGCGGUUGCAAUCGUGAAUAAAACUUAUCUACACAAA